UUAAAAUUUUGCUUUUAGUUCCUCGGUGAUUUUGGAGCAGAAUCCAUCUUUGAGUAUAUUUUAAAGUCUAAUGAUAUAAAAGCAAGAGUGGGCAAAGCAAGAGGAUGCACUUUCGGAUUUGAAGGGUAUGGCUGUUUGAUUUCAGAUGAAACCGAUCCUUACAAUAUUUGUUCAUUGCUCAUUAGCUACAUACUGCUUGUGAAAUUGAUAAUUUUGGGGACCUUGAUCAGUUAUAGGCUGUAGAUGGAUGCUUGCCAAAACUUUGCCAAAGCAACAGCAAAACUAUUCAGCAGGCAGCAGCUGCAUCAAAAAACGCAGGCAGCCGCGGCAGCAACACAAGCAGCCGGAAUAGCAGCAUCAGCAGAAGGCAGCAGUAUCAAAAGGUAGCAGCAAAAACAGUAGUAAAUAGCAGCAACAUGCAACUAAAGACAGCUGCGGCAGUAGGUAUGUAGUUCUGCAACUCUGCUCUAUUUUUUUAUAAGUCUAGAUAUAUUUUCUUCAAUUAUGCAUAACUAUGAAAGUAUAUAUACAUAUGAAAUUAGUAGUUACUGUUAAAAGCUUGCCUUAUAUUUUCAGCUAAGGCAGAUUUUAUAUCUAAUUGUUCCAUGUAAUGAUGUAAUAGAACUGCUUUUGCCUCAGUUAUGAACCUUCCUGCAUUUUCUUGUUACA
Molecule: RNA transcript, 669 nt
Organism: Mercurialis annua (annual mercury)
Lineage: Eukaryota; Viridiplantae; Streptophyta; Magnoliopsida; Malpighiales; Euphorbiaceae
Exons: 4
Source: RefSeq, a predicted model, not a curated record